This 254-nucleotide ribosomal RNA is filed under the name uncultured bacterium. Its description in RNAcentral is "partial 16S ribosomal RNA". It matches the Rfam family "Bacterial small subunit ribosomal RNA", at positions 524 to 776 of the family's 1533-position model. The record is from RNAcentral.
UACGGGGGGGGCAAGCGUUGUUCGGAAUUACUGGGCGUAAAGGGCUCGUAGGUGGCCAACUAAGUCGGAUGUGAAAUCCCCAGGCUCAACUUGGGAACUGCAUCCGAUACUGGAUGGCUUGAAUCCGGGAGAGGGAUGCAGAAUUCCAGGUGUAGCGGUGAAAUGCGUAGAUAUCUGGAGGAAUACCGGUGGCGAAGGCGGCAUCCUGGACCAACACUGACGCUGAGUGAGCGAAAGCCAGGGGAGCAAACGGG